This 253-nucleotide ribosomal RNA is filed under the name uncultured bacterium. Its description in RNAcentral is "partial 16S ribosomal RNA". It matches the Rfam family "Bacterial small subunit ribosomal RNA", at positions 524 to 776 of the family's 1533-position model. The record is from RNAcentral.
UACGAAGGGGGCUAGCGUUGUUCGGAAUCACUGGGCGUAAAGCGCACGUAGGCGGAUUGUUAAGUCAGAGGUGAAAUCCCGAGGCUCAACCUCGGAACUGCCUUUGAUACUGUCGAUCUAGAGUCCGGGAGAGGUGAGUGGAAUUGCGAGUGUAGAGGUGAAAUUCGUAGAUAUUCGGAAGAACACCAGUGGCGAAGGCGGCUCACUGGCCCGACACUGACGCUGAGGCGCGAAAGCGUGGGUAGCAAACAGG